AUUGGACACAGGAAAUCAAUAGGUAAAACCUGGAUUGGCCUGAAUCCUCUGACUUGUCAGUGCUGGCCUUGGACAAGAUGGCAUCUCAUCUCCAAAGACUUCCCAAACUUGGCACCAUGAACCAGGUGCUGAAGUCCUAAGCAGCAAGUGAAUAAUUAUAAUCUGAGAGAAUUAAGAUUUUGACACCUGAAAUAAAAUAUUUUAAAGGACUGGAGAAAUUAAUAAGAGCUAAAAGGAGGAGCUUUGCAAAGACCAAGGCAAUAAGCACUUUUCCAUUAAAUAAAAUUCAUUGAAAAAAUCUUUGUCUGCCAUGCAAGACUUCUUGAAUAUCUUUAGGAAGAUGGGC
Phascolarctos cinereus (koala) is the source of this 346-nucleotide long non-coding RNA. NCBI's taxonomy places the organism in Eukaryota, Metazoa, Chordata, Mammalia, Diprotodontia, Phascolarctidae. The record is from Ensembl.